Non-coding RNA from Paramuricea clavata, 856 nucleotides. Lineage: Eukaryota; Metazoa; Cnidaria; Anthozoa; Malacalcyonacea; Plexauridae. The record is from the annotation of a GenBank genome assembly.
UGUUACCCUCUGAUACUCCACGUAUUCGUCGUUUUAACGCUGACAUUGAAAUCCAAAAUAUUUUGUUCGAAUACACCACGGUUAUCUUCAGUCAAGCAUAUUUGGUUCUUUACCUCAUCGCUAAUUUUAAUAUUGUUCAUCCAUGGGAAAUUAUCAAAGGUUCCUUGGUCAGAAUUUCCAUAAGUACAGUUAUAGAUUUCGUCUUCAACAUUAUUUCAGUGUUUAUUCAAGUUCAUUUCUAUGAUAUUCCCAUGCGUAGGGUGUGGUUAAAAUAUUGGCGACGUCACAUGAUUGCGAAUGCUCUCACCAUCAUUUGUACAGUAUCAUAUUUUGGUGCGUCGCUGGUCAGUGUGUUCGCGGCGCGCGAAGACAGGUUACUGGAAUACAAAUUAAGAAACUGUACAAUACCUAUUUGAAAAACAUGUGUGACUACAAAUGUAGGCAUGUUGCAUAGCUUCAAAAGCAUGUUGCAUAGCGUCCGAAGCCCAAACGUUUGGUGUUUCAUUCAACAAUUUGGCCGUUAUGAUUGGUCUGCCCUUGUAAAUGGAAAGCGCCAUUUGUGAUUUCACAUUUAGAAGAAUAUUUCUGUUAAAUGUUCAACCACAGACAGGGGCGGCGCUACAGGGGUGUGUGUGUGUGUGGAGGGGGGGACACCCCCCACUCGUCAGCUAAUCGGAAAAUUGUUAUCUCAGUCGGCAAAACUGGAUUGGCUAAAGAAAACCACUGAAGAAACCAAAAUUGACCUCCUGAAUAAUUGAAUUCAAACCGAAUAUCACGAAUAGCAUGCAUCAAAGAAACCACACAUGCAGCAAUGCAAUUUUUUUCGAAUACAGUAUCUUCACUUCUGGCAGCUAGU